GCUCAGAUGGUGGAAUCGGUAGACACUGGGGACUUAAAAUCCCCUGGCAUUGCGCCGUGCGGGUUCGAGUCCCGCUCUGAGCA
This 83-nucleotide transfer RNA is filed under the name Pyramidobacter sp. CG50-2. It matches the Rfam family "tRNA". Rfam says of the family: Transfer RNA (tRNA) molecules are approximately 80 nucleotides in length. Their secondary structure includes four short double-helical elements and three loops (D, anti-codon, and T loops). Further hydrogen bonds mediate the characteristic L-shaped molecular structure. tRNAs have two regions of fundamental functional importance: the anti-codon, which is responsible for specific mRNA codon recognition, and the 3' end, to which the tRNAs corresponding amino acid is attached (by aminoacyl-tRNA synthetases). tRNAs cope with the degeneracy of the genetic code in two manners: having more than one tRNA (with a specific anti-codon) for a particular amino acid; and 'wobble' base-pairing, i.e. permitting non-standard base-pairing at the 3rd anti-codon position. The record is from Rfam by way of RNAcentral. Lineage: Bacteria; Thermotogati; Synergistota; Synergistia; Synergistales; Dethiosulfovibrionaceae.